This is a long non-coding RNA of Antechinus flavipes (yellow-footed antechinus), 589 nucleotides long. RefSeq lists it as uncharacterized. NCBI's taxonomy places the organism in Eukaryota, Metazoa, Chordata, Mammalia, Dasyuromorphia, Dasyuridae. The transcript has 5 exons. The record is from RefSeq and is a predicted model, not a curated record.
AAUUUGCAUUGGAACAGUAAAAUCCCUUUUGCAAUAUUCUUUGAUAUCUUUUGAGAAGACAAAAACUCAAAGAAACCAUGUGACCAUAACAGAAGCAAAGCAAUGAAGCCAGUAGAGAGACCAUGACUAAAGUCACCUGUAGGGUAGAGGCCAGUUUCAUUGAUGUCAGAAGUGGUAUUAUUCCCAGGACCAGGUCAUUGGAGUCUUGAGUAACCAGUGGGAUUGGAUCAGAUACCACCAGAGAUUUAUUUCAACUGAGUCUCCCAAGCACUGAGCUAGCUCUGGAAAUGCAUGUCAAUCUCAUCAGCAAUGUAGACAUCCCUGGAGAGUAUGCUACCAAGCCGUUUCUGGAGUGGAAAUUUCUAUCAACUGAUUGGGGGCCACAUCCUUCGGUGUCACAUUUCCUGAGGACCCUCCCUUCCAGAAAAGUCACCAAUCAACAACUAGCAACCUGAGAUGUGGACAGAAAGCAUCCUCCCAGGUGCAACUGAACUGUCUAGUUGGCCUGGAAGUAUGAGAGCCAUAGGAACUGAAAUUUAAAGUUCCAUUUUGAUUGGUAAAUUAAACAAAUAAAAAUCAAAUAAAUAAU